GAUGAACGCUGGCGGCGUGCUUAACACAUGCAAGUCGAACGAGCCUUCGGGCUAGUGGCGGACGGGUGAGUAACGCGUGGGAAUCUGCCCUCAGGAGGGGGAUAACGGCCGGAAACGGCCGCUAAUACCCCAUAUGCCGAGAGGUGAAAUGAAUUUCGCCUGGGGAUGAGCCCGCGUCUGAUUAGCUAGUUGGUGAGGUAAUGGCUCACCAAGGCUUCGAUCAGUAGCUGGUCUGAGAGGAUGAUCAGCCACACUGGGACUGAGACACGGCCCAGACUCCUACGGGAGGCAGCAGUGGGGAAUUUUCCGCAAUGGGCGCAAGCCUGACGGAGCAACGCCGCGUGAGGGACGAAGGCCUCUGGGCUGUAAACCUCUUUUCUCAAGGAAGAAGACAUGACGGUACUUGAGGAAUAAGCCACGGCUAAUUCCGUGCCAGCAGCCGCGGUAAUACGGGAGUGGCAAGCGUUAUCCGGAAUUAUUGGGCGUAAAGCGUCCGCAGGCGGCCUUGAAAGUCUGUUGUUAAAGCGUGGAGCUCAACUCCAUUUAAGCAAUGGAAACUACAAGGCUAGAGUGUGGUAGGGGCAGAGGGAAUUCCCGGUGUAGCGGUGAAAUGCGUAGAUAUCGGGAAGAACACCAGUGGCGAAGGCGCUCUGCUGGGCCAUAACUGACGCUCAUGGACGAAAGCCAGGGGAGCGAAAGGGAUUAGAUACCCCUGUAGUCCUGGCCGUAAACGAUGAACACUAGGUGUCGGGAGAAUUAACCCUUCCGGUGUCGUAGCCAACGCGUUAAGUGUUCCGCCUGGGGAGUACGCACGCAAGUGUGAAACUCAAAGGAAUUGACGGGGGCCCGCACAAGCGGUGGAGUAUGUGGUUUAAUUCGAUGCAACGCGAAGAACCUUACCAGGGUUUGACAUCCUGCGAAUCCCUUGGAAACGAGGGAGUGCCUUCGGGAACGCAGUGACAGGUGGUGCAUGGCUGUCGUCAGCUCGUGUCGUGAGAUGUUGGGUUAAGUCCCGCAACGAGCGCAACCCACGUCUUUAGUUGCCAGCAUUCAGUUGGGCACUCUAGAGAGACCGCCGGUGAUAAACCGGAGGAAGGUGUGGAUGACGUCAAGUCAUCAUGCCCCUUACAUCCUGGGCUACACACGUACUACAAUGCUACGGACAAAGGGCAGCAAACUCGCGAGAGCUAGCAAAUCCCAUAAACCGUGGCUCAGUUCAGAUCGUAGGCUGCAACUCGCCUACGUGAAGGAGGAAUCGCUAGUAAUCGCAGGUCAGCAUACUGCGGUGAAUACGUUCCCGGGCCUUGUACACACCGCCCGUCACACCAUGGAAGUUGGCCAUGCCCGAAGUCGUUACUCCAACCCGCAAGGGAGGAGGACGCCGAAGGUGGGGCUGAUGACUGGGGUGAAGUCGUAACAAGGUAGCCGUACCGGAAGGUGCGGCUGGAUCACCUCCU
RNAcentral lists this ribosomal RNA (1457 nucleotides) under Cyanobium sp. JJ13-6. RNAcentral describes it as "16S ribosomal RNA". It matches the Rfam family "Bacterial small subunit ribosomal RNA". Lineage: Bacteria; Bacillati; Cyanobacteriota; Cyanophyceae; Synechococcales; Prochlorococcaceae. The record is from RNAcentral.